AUUGAACGCUGGCGGCAGGCCUAACACAUGCAAGUCGAACGGUAACAGGAAGAAGCUUGCUUCUUUGCUGACGAGUGGCGGACGGGUGAGUAAUGUCUGGGAAACUGCCUGAUGGAGGGGGAUAACUACUGGAAACGGUAGCUAAUACCGCAUAACGUCGCAAGACCAAAGAGGGGGACCUUCGGGCCUCUUGCCAUCGGAUGUGCCCAGAUGGGAUUAGCUAGUAGGUGGGGUAACGGCUCACCUAGGCGACGAUCCCUAGCUGGUCUGAGAGGAUGACCGGCCACACUGGAACUGAGACACGGUCCAGACUCCUACGGGAGGCAGCAGUGGGGAAUAUUGCACAAUGGGCGCAAGCCUGAUGCAGCCAUGCCGCGUGUAUGAAGAAGGCCUUCGGGUGGUAAAGUACUUUCAGCGGGGAGGAAGGGAGUAAAGUUAAUACCUUUGCUCAUUGACGUUACCCGCAGAAGAAGCACCGGCUAACUCCGUG
RNAcentral lists this ribosomal RNA (490 nucleotides) under uncultured bacterium. RNAcentral describes it as "partial 16S ribosomal RNA". It matches the Rfam family "Bacterial small subunit ribosomal RNA", at positions 30 to 507 of the family's 1533-position model. The record is from RNAcentral.